AAAAUACUAAAAUAGUAAAUAAAUGUUUAUUGAAACUUAAAUAAUUUGGCGGUAUUUUAGUUCAUUUAGAGGAAUCUGUUUAAUAAUUGAUAAUCCACGAAUAAAUUUACUUAAUUUAUAAUUUUGUAUAUCGUUGUUAAAAAAAUAUUUUUUAAUAAAAUUAAUAUUUAAAAAUUAGAAUAUAAAUUUAAAUCAGAUCAAGAUGCAGAUUAUAAUUAAGAAUAUAAUGGAUUACAAUAAAUUUAUUUAAAUGAAUUUUAAUUUGUAAAAAUUAAUUGAAAGUGGAUUUAAAUGUAAUUUUAUUUAAUUUAAUAAAAUGAUUAAAAAUUAAAAUAUGU
Molecule: ribosomal RNA, 338 nt
Filed under: Feraxinia nyei
Lineage: Eukaryota; Metazoa; Arthropoda; Insecta; Lepidoptera; Noctuidae
Description: partial 12S ribosomal RNA
Source: RNAcentral